AAUUUUAACAGUGCCCCGAUACAAAGAAUGGUCGACAUGGUUUCCUGUUUAGCUUUAUGUGCAAUCCUCUGAACUUGGCUUAAUUAGUGGUUCUUAAGGACGGCUGCAUUAUUCAGGCUGGCAAAUAUGAUGAACUUUUACAGGCAGGAACUGAUUUUGAAACUUUGGUGUCAGCUCACCAUGAAGCAAUUGACUCUAUGGAUAUUCCCAAUCACUCACUUGAAGAUUCAGUUGAAAGCAAUCCUUGUGAUGGGUCUGUUCUAUUGAGUAAAAAAUGUGUUACAAUUGGAAAUCGUAUUAACAGUUU
This is a non-coding RNA of Camellia sinensis, 307 nucleotides long. The record is from RefSeq and is a predicted model, not a curated record. Lineage: Eukaryota; Viridiplantae; Streptophyta; Magnoliopsida; Ericales; Theaceae.